RNAcentral lists this ribosomal RNA (430 nucleotides) under uncultured Streptococcus sp. RNAcentral's name for it is "bacterial SSU rRNA". It matches the Rfam family "Bacterial small subunit ribosomal RNA", at positions 952 to 1382 of the family's 1533-position model. The record is from RNAcentral. Lineage: Bacteria; Bacillati; Bacillota; Bacilli; Lactobacillales; Streptococcaceae.
CGUAAGCAACGCGAAGAACCUUACCAGGUCUUGACAUCCCGAUGCUAUUUCUAGAGAUAGAAAGUUACUUCGGUACAUCGGUGACAGGUGGUGCAUGGUUGUCGUCAGCUCGUGUCGUGAGAUGUUGGGUUAAGUCCCGCAACGAGCGCAACCCCUAUUGUUAGUUGCCAUCAUUCAGUUGGGCACUCUAGCGAGACUGCCGGUAAUAAACCGGAGGAAGGUGGGGAUGACGUCAAAUCAUCAUGCCCCUUAUGACCUGGGCUACACACGUGCUACAAUGGUUGGUACAACGAGUUGCGAGUCGGUGACGGCGAGCUAAUCUCUUAAAGCCAAUCUCAGUUCGGAUUGUAGGCUGCAACUCGCCUACAUGAAGGCGGAAUCGCUAGUAACCGCGAAUCAGCAGGUCGCGGUGAAUACGUUCCCGGGCCUU